UGGCUCAGUUGGUAGAACAUGGUGUUUGCAACGCCAGGGUUGUGGGUUCGAUUCCCAC
Molecule: non-coding RNA, 58 nt
Organism: Salmo salar (Atlantic salmon)
Lineage: Eukaryota; Metazoa; Chordata; Actinopteri; Salmoniformes; Salmonidae
Source: Rfam